GACGAACGCUGGCGGCGUGCUUAACACAUGCAAGUCGAACGGUGAAGCGCCUUCCUUUUGGUGGGUGUGGGUGGGGGGCGAAAGGGGGAGGAACACGUGAGUAACCUGCCCCCUUCUUCUGGAUAAACGCCUGAAAGUGUUGCUAAUACGGGGUAUUCUGGGUCUGUCGCAUGAUGGGUCUGGGGAAGAUAUUGUUUCGGGGGGGGAUGGGCUCGCGGCCUAUCAGCUUGUUGGUGGGGUGAUGGCCUACCAAGGCGGUGACGGGUAGCCGGCCUGAGAGGGUGGACGGUCACACUGGGACUGAGACACGGCCCAGACUCCUACGGGAGGCAGCAGUGGGGAAUAUUGCACAAUGGGCGCAAGCCUGAUGCAGCGACGCCGCGUGAGGGAUGGAGGCCUUCGGGUUGUGAACCUCUUUCGCCAGUGAAGCAGGCCUGCCUCGUUUGUGGGUGGGUUGACGGUAGCUGGAUAAGAAGCGCCGGCUAACUACGUG
This 493-nucleotide ribosomal RNA is filed under the name uncultured bacterium. Its description in RNAcentral is "partial 16S ribosomal RNA". It matches the Rfam family "Bacterial small subunit ribosomal RNA", at positions 28 to 507 of the family's 1533-position model. The record is from RNAcentral.